CACGCCAAGCGGAGAAUUUUUUUUGUUUUGGUGUUCGAGCAUCGUCGAUCGCUUCCUUUCCGGCACGUAUACACCGCUUUCGUAAUCUGCGUGCGUGCUGCCCGCAGCGCGUGAGGUAGGUGCAGGCAGGACAUCAGAGAAGACGUGCUUUGCUACUGCGAAGAGCGCCACACCCACUCUCGAGACGAGGUUGGUGGGGAGCAGGCGAAGAAGAGGUGAAUCACCUUUAUCAACCAUACAAACAUAUACGCGAAGCCACCCUUGCUGUUGCUUUUUUUUUUCAAGGGAACGCAGAGGCACAACUGUCUCGCUUACACGCCGUCCCCCUUCCCCCGUUUCUUUGUUCUCUCACAUACAUACAGCACAGAGCAUAGAGCCCGACGUAUAGAGGGGCAAUCACCCUCCUCCUCGUCGAACAAACUCUCGCACAAGAGAAAGACGGCGGCACAUCCAAUGGAAUGAGGAAGUUGACAUAUGCCGCAUCCGUCGUCCUACCGCCACACGGCGGUGGCGAAGGAGGCGGUCACAGCACACCUGCGUGGAUGCGCAGCCUGCUCUCCGUCCGCUUUUCCACGCGGCGGCCAAUCCACAAUCGGCCAUCGUCGUGCUCUUUGAGGGUUUUCACACUUCCAAGGUGCGUGUGCGGGUCUGUUUUUCUGCAACGCCGGCGCGUCGCUUCGCGGGCGACGCCAAGUGACGCGAAGGCUUCCGCAGAAAAGCGUAGCCUCUGGGAGGAGUCGUUCGAAGAGGCGCUGUACAAGGACUUUGCACAUCCGUCUUCGGUUAGUUCAGCUGGCACCGUCGAUGCUGCAUCGUCCAGCGAGGUGGCGGACAGAAACCUCGUUGUCCGUGCCGCGCCCCGUAUCGAGGACAUCACGCCAGCUUCCGGUGCGGUGGCCAUAGAGGCGCCUUGGGAUCGUGCUAGCGCAAGUCUCACAGGCCCCGAAACUCUCUCGGUGAAGACUGGUGCAAAGCCGACCCCUGUGGCGCAACCCCCACGUGCGAAUCCUGGCCGAAGCAGCGACAUCAGGAAUCCACUCCUGUUGCCGUCCGUCUCAGGGUGUGAUGAGGAAAGGCGCACGCAUCUCACCGCCGAGGUAGCGUUUGAGCAGGCGCUCUACGGUGGCAUCGUCUCUAUGGGCGAUGGAGACGGAGGCGCCACGGGCAGCCGCAGCACGCCGGGCCCUGGCUCCACCUCGAAUACGCCAAUCGCGCGACCGACUGGAGAGGCAACGGGAGCGAGCAAAGAAUGUCGUGAAGGCUGCGCCGCCGUUGCAACCGGCGCCGCCGCGCCUGUACCUCCGAAUCCAUCUCCCCGGAUACCGGGCCACUUACUGCGGGGAGGCGGAGGGGCGCCUUUCAAGAGCGCCGCUCCGCCUCAGCAGGCUGCCAGGAGCAACGAGGACAAGACUCAGACCGCGUCGGCAAUGACAACGACAACACCACGGGUGACCUUUGCGUCUGCGGAGGCCGCCUUUGAACGCGCGCUCUACGGUGAUGCCAUGAUGGAGCCGCUGAGCGGGAAGGCGGAUGCUCUGGUGUCCAGUGAUGCGAGCAUGCCUGUGGCAGAUGGAGAUGGCAGCGCGUCUCCUGGAGCGCCUCCGCUGCCACCGGCUCCGUCUGCGUCACCCGACACCCUUGACUCCACGCGACGGUACCGCGAUGGUGGCGCUGCUGGCGCACUUGUGCGCAGCGCGGAUGAUGCCGCACCAGAUGGGGCGAUUGAAGGGACACCAGCAUCAGGCAUGAGCGAGGCCGCCACGGAGAGCACCCCACAGGGCCGUGAGGAGGUUCGUCAGCUUGUCGACAACGCGGCAGACACAGAGGUGUCUGACGCAGCCGAGGCCAAGGGUACCGAGAGCGUCUCUGUCGAGGAGGCCAUUCCUCCCCCUACCGUCUCCAUGCGGUGCGCUUUCGAUCUAGACCGUCUAGAUGCCCCGGCGGAUCAGUUUGCACUGCUCGAUGCUCUGUUUCACGUCGCAGACCACCACACAGCCGUCGUCACGCACAUCGACCCUGCAGAUCGGGUGAGGCGAUGCAUGCCGCUGCUGGACCGCAUCAGCAAGCGGGAGCUCUUUUUCGCGAGUGGCUGGAUCUUGGACUUGGAGCGGGCCGAGGGCACCAACGCUGCGCCUCCCCGCACAGAGAGCGCAGCUGGCUUCUCAGGAUCGGCGGUGCCGUUGCCGUUCACGCACCGAGAGGUGAUCGGACGCAGCAAGGUACUGCGCACCCUCGUGUUCCGUCUGCUGCACACGCAACACCACUGGUGGGACCAGGUCCAGGAGGUUGUAUUGCUUGCGGUGAAGAAGGCGGCGGGACUUCAGACAAGCUGCACAGGGGUGCUAGGCGCCGAAGCCACCAUCGAGGACAUUCCUAUGAUGCCCUCCGACGAAGGCGUUGAGGACGCAACGGAGUCAGUUGUCGUGCCUGCCAGCGGCGCGGCUGUUGUGGAGUGCCCGAUGCGACACACAACCGCGGCGGAUGUGCAGGCAGCCAUGACGCGCAUCUUCGGCACCGAUCCCCAGCAGGUGCACUUCUUCAGCGCUGCCCUGUGUGAAGCGCUCGCCACGUUCGGCGACACCGGCGGCGCCAUCGACGGCUGCGCGGAUGGCGCGUUUUCCGCCUUCGAGGGGCCGGUGGCGGCGUGGAACGCUUUUGUUCUCACGCAGCGCCAUCGCACAACUGGGGUCUGCGGGCCGCACACGCGGCCAUUCAGCUUCGGCGAAGGACGACCCACAAUUAACAUUUCAGAUCUUGCGCCGCUGCAGUACUGCGAUGGAGCCGCCUCCUGGAGCGACGCGCCAUCUCCCGAGCCGCUCCCGUGUGCCACCGCUGCGCGGCACAGCGCAGACGUUCGCGUGGCGGAGGAUGGCAGUUGGGUCGACGAGGCCCACGUGGGGCGGCAGCCUACACUUUGCACGCCCUCGGCGGGCGCUGCAGCUGCCGACGCCAUCACCACGUCGUGGGAUACAAUGAGUGAGGAGGAGCAGAACACAUUCCUCUUCGGGGCUAAAAGCGCGCAGCUCUCCCUGCGAGUUCGCGAGUCGGGCGGUGUUUACGCCGUGUUCGGACAGAACAACAUGCCGUUUGAGAUGGAGAGCAUGCUCGCGGAGGCCGAAGUGGCGGUUCAGCAGCGCGAGGCGCUGGGGAAGGAAGAGACGGAGGCCGACGCAGCGGACGGGGGUAGCAGCCACGCGCCGGCAGAGGCAUCGCCGCUCGAGGUGAUGCGCGAUCAGGAGGCAGCGCACGUACGUGCGUACGAUGUAGACCGGGUGGUUCUCGAACUCAUGAACAGCGAGGGAGCGACCGUCACCACGCUGCCUAGCGACCGCUCGACCUUCCUAUCGAGUCUGGCAGCCGCGUCCAACGAGAGAAGCGGAAGCGCCUCCCGACAACAGCGUGCCCGCGGACACAUCGGUACGACCGCGUCCGCCUCCACGAUGCCGUUUCAAUGGCAUCUGCGGAAUAACGAGGACGUGCAACUUGCCGCACUCUGGCAGCGUUUCGUUCGAGCAUCAACAGGCGACCUCAUAGGCAACCUUGUCUACGUGCGCCGCCACGCCAGCUCUCUCGUGCACGACGCCGUGGUCGAUAUCGCCGUGCAGAAGGCCUUCUGGCUGCUUUUCUUCGCGCGCGACGAGGUGCGCGCCGUCACCCAUCCAAAGCGCACGUACGAUACACUCUGGAACUUGCACCAUCAGCUGGUGGCACUCUUCACAUUACCCCGCGGUGGCGGGUCAACGUCCUCGCCGACGCUGCGGCGGGUCACUCAAGGCCGCGAGGCUGCACAGGCGGCGCGCCCGGCCUUUGAGGAUCUCUCGCUGCAAAGCCAGGUGAGCUACGCAUGUUUUGGCUGCGCGCACGUGCCACCGCGGCCGAGUCUCCUGGUUACGGAGACCGCAGGAGUAGCCGCCAAGCCCCACAUCUACUCUAGCGUCAGCAUGCCCUUUGCAUCGCCCACCGACCUGUAUGCUGCCCUCGCCGAGUCCUACAACGGGCAUGGCGUUGGGCAACUAGAAACAGGAGCGGCGUCUUCAGCGUCCGACGACGGCACACAGACCUCGGGCAGAGAAAAGGCAAAUUUUGCGACCCUCUCGGCUCUCCAGCAGCUUUCCAUCGAGUUCUGCUUCCCUCGCAACCGCGCGGAGAGAGCCGAAGCGGCGCUGCUCCUGCCUGCGCGUGGGGGCCCCACAGUCGCGGCGGCAGUCACGACCACCGCGCUUGAAACUGCAGACACGGAGAGGGAUCCGCGGAGCGAGCGAGGCGAGUUUUCUUCCGAUGCCGGAUCGCACCCCGCAUCCGAAGGAGAACCACUGGAUGCUGAAGAACGUACGCAGCCGGGUGUCAAUGUGAAGGAACGAGCAGCAAGUGCCAGCAAGGUUAGGGUCCACGGCGGCGCAGCCGCCGAAUACGCGUGGAUUCGGCAGGUUCACAGCGCACUGGAGGGCAGUGUGUACGAGUGUCUCCGCUCUCUCCGGGCAGCCGGCGCGCUCGCGGCACCGCUCCCUUCCCGAGAGCGCCGCCGCGACAGCAUUGGUGUGGCGUUGGCGACCUUCUCCGACGAGCAGCGGCGCAAGGUGUGGCGCGCCGUGCAGGACAUCACAGCCGCAAUGAUCGAGGGAGACGCGGCGGAGUCCUCGGUAGGUGCGUCGUCGUUAGCGAGGGAGGCACGGGCGCCUACCGAGGCGGAAGGCAAGCAGCAUCGCAUACCCUCUCCCGACGCUGCAAUGGCGGAUGCGCUCGCGUCUCCGAGGCAAGGGGGUUGGGAGGCUAUGAAAUUUGCAAGCUCGCGGCAAGCGCCAACCGUUUCAAAGGGGCGCGACAAGCGCCACCGGGUCAGUGACAUGCUGAUGGCAAGCGGAGUGCCUCUUAGGCGCCAGCGCGGUAGGAAGCCGCGUGCUGUGAGUUUCGACGCCAUCAAGAGUGCAUCGGAGGAGCGAGAAGCUACUGCUCCCGAGCAGACAAGGCGCGUGAGCAAGCCCUCAAUUCAACGGGGCACAGGCCGCCGAGGCCGUAAAGGUGGAGCGGCAAGACGGGAGUGCGGCGUGACCAACGAGGAGGUGGCCCGCGUCAUGGCCUUGUUUCGCGAAGGCGCAACGUAGCCCACCUGCAUCUGCGUCUCCGAGCGCUGUGUUGCAGGACAACCUCACCGACUGGCGCGCCUCGUGCGUGCUAGGUCACUGUCCUAGCCACAUGUGUGCUUGUGCUUGCUGAUGGCCAUGUUGCCCCGCUUUCUCACUGCCCAUGCAUUAACUCGACAACGCGCGCACGCACAUCCGACGUCCACACAAGCAUUUACAUGUGUGAGUGAAGGAAAGGAACGAGAGUAUCGAUGGCCAAAAGAGAAAAUCAGAGAGAGAGAGCAACAAAAGCAGCAUGCGUGCUGCCUGAAAGAGGAGCACACGUGUGCGCAAGCGCUCUGCUGCAG
RNAcentral lists this unclassified non-coding RNA (5428 nucleotides) under Leishmania donovani. RNAcentral describes it as "gene:LdHU3.28.1440(CDS-product:hypothetical_prote in_conserved)". Lineage: Eukaryota; Euglenozoa; Kinetoplastea; Trypanosomatida; Trypanosomatidae. The record is from RNAcentral.